RNAcentral lists this ribosomal RNA (700 nucleotides) under Bacillus sp. (in: firmicutes). RNAcentral describes it as "bacterial SSU rRNA". It matches the Rfam family "Bacterial small subunit ribosomal RNA", at positions 109 to 791 of the family's 1533-position model. Lineage: Bacteria; Bacillati; Bacillota; Bacilli; Caryophanales; Bacillaceae. The record is from RNAcentral.
AGUAACACGUGGGUAACCUGCCCAUAAGACUGGGAUAACUCCGGGAAACCGGGGCUAAUACCGGAUAACAUUUUGAACCGCAUGGUUCGAAAUUGAAAGGCGGCUUCGGCUGUCACUUAUGGAUGGACCCGCGUCGCAUUAGCUAGUUGGUGAGGUAACGGCUCACCAAGGCAACGAUGCGUAGCCGACCUGAGAGGGUGAUCGGCCACACUGGGACUGAGACACGGCCCAGACUCCUACGGGAGGCAGCAGUAGGGAAUCUUCCGCAAUGGACGAAAGUCUGACGGAGCAACGCCGCGUGAGUGAUGAAGGCUUUCGGGUCGUAAAACUCUGUUGUUAGGGAAGAACAAGUGCUAGUUGAAUAAGCUGGCACCUUGACGGUACCUAACCAGAAAGCCACGGCUAACUACGUGCCAGCAGCCGCGGUAAUACGUAGGUGGCAAGCGUUAUCCGGAAUUAUUGGGCGUAAAGCGCGCGCAGGUGGUUUCUUAAGUCUGAUGUGAAAGCCCACGGCUCAACCGUGGAGGGUCAUUGGAAACUGGGAGACUUGAGUGCAGAAGAGGNAAGUGGANAUUCCAUGUGUAGCGGUGAAAUGCGUAGAGAUAUGGAGGAACACCAGUGGCGAAGGCGACUUUCUGGUCUGUAACUGACACUGAGGCGCGAAAGCGUGGGGAGCAAACCAGGAUUAGAUACCCCUGGU